RNAcentral lists this unclassified non-coding RNA (241 nucleotides) under plant metagenome. RNAcentral describes it as "partial contains small subunit ribosomal RNA, internal transcribed spacer 1, and 5.8S ribosomal RNA". The record is from RNAcentral.
UCUCCGUUGGUGAACCAGCGGAGGGAUCAUUACAGAGUUUUCACAACUCCCAACCCUCGCGAACCGUACCCAUUCUGUUCUCGUUGCUUCCGGCGGGGGGGACGGGGGGCCCGAAACGGCCUCCCCGCCCCGCCCGCCGGGGGCGGCGGGCCCUACGAACCUUUAUAACUCAACCACCAGAAACCGUCUGAGAAAACAAACAAAAUAAUCAAAACUUUCAACAACGGAUCUCUUGGCUCUG